AGAGAUGAUAUAGAAGGAGAGUUGGAAGCAUGGGAGAGGAUCAACUCAUCAUGGCUGGUUUGAGGUUGGAGUAAGAGUCCAUGAAUCAAGGACUUCUAGAAGCAGUCCACGAGUCAAGGUUCAUACUUCGCAAGUCCUUUCUACUUCAGGAUUAUAAAGAGAGAAUGAGCACAAGCAGGGAGAGCUGCAGAGGGAGAUGGAGAAGCAAGAUCCCCACUGAGCAGGGAGGCCGACGUAGGAGCAAGACCUGAGCGGAAUGCAGAUGCUUAACCGACUGAGCCACCCAGGAGCCCCAGCAGAGUAUAUGUUUUAAAAUCCCUAGUGGAUGCCUGAAACCAUGGAUCAUACUGAACCCUAUACUAUUUUUUCCCUGUAUAUAAAUACCUAUGAUAAAGUUAAAGUAUAAAUUUGGCAUAGUAAGAGAUUAACAGCAAUAAUUAAUAAUGGAAUAUUUGUAACAAUAUACCAUAAUAAA
Long non-coding RNA from Canis lupus familiaris (dog), 475 nucleotides. RefSeq lists it as uncharacterized. The transcript has 3 exons. The record is from RefSeq and is a predicted model, not a curated record. NCBI's taxonomy places the organism in Eukaryota, Metazoa, Chordata, Mammalia, Carnivora, Canidae.